UCACCCCUCAAGCCCCCGGCUUGGUGUUGGAGGGCUUGGUUGACCGCAACGUCGACCCCUCCUAAAGACAAUGACGGCGCCCCGCGGCACCCCCGGUACACUGAGCUUUUCAUCGAGCACGUAUCGGACAAGGGUCCCCGGGACACGGUCUCUCGUUCCCACGCAUCGCGGGAAAAUUUUUUCUGAAA
This 188-nucleotide unclassified non-coding RNA is filed under the name uncultured Herpotrichiellaceae. RNAcentral's name for it is "sequence contains ITS2". The record is from RNAcentral. Lineage: Eukaryota; Fungi; Ascomycota; Eurotiomycetes; Chaetothyriales; Herpotrichiellaceae.